This 91-nucleotide transfer RNA is filed under the name Bacteroidota bacterium. Its description in RNAcentral is "Bacteroidetes bacterium (activated sludge metagenome) tRNA-Ser". It matches the Rfam family "tRNA". Rfam says of the family: Transfer RNA (tRNA) molecules are approximately 80 nucleotides in length. The record is from RNAcentral. Lineage: Bacteria; Pseudomonadati; Bacteroidota.
GGAGGAAUGGCAGAGUGGUUGAUUGCAACUGUCUUGAAAACAGUCGUAGGUGAUGAGCCUACCCGGGGUUCGAAUCCCUGUUCCUCCGCCA